Chelonoidis abingdonii (Abingdon island giant tortoise) is the source of this 414-nucleotide non-coding RNA. NCBI's taxonomy places the organism in Eukaryota, Metazoa, Chordata, Testudines, Testudinidae. The record is from the annotation of a RefSeq genome assembly.
AAGAUGAGGUCACACACUCUGCUCAUCUGGGUGUUAAUCCUCUUUAUGAAAGAUGCCAGAGGAGACAUUUUGCUGACUCAGACUCCAGAAUCCCUCUCGGUGUCUCUAGGAGACAGAGUCACCAUCAACUGCAAAGCCAGCACAACCAUCAGCAGCAGCAUAGCCUGGUACCAACAGAAACCAGGACAGGCCCCUAAGCUCCUUUUCUAUGGUUCUUCCUCUCGUCCCUCCGGGAUCCCAGACCGGUUCACUGGCAGUGGAUCUGGCACUGACUUCACUUUGACAAUCACAAAUUUUCAAGCUGAUGAUGCUGGCAGUUAUUUUUGUCAACAGUACUAUGACAGGCCUCCUGGAUACGGUACAGGUUCAGGAGUGGAACUAUUCUGCCACCUCCUCACAGGGAUUGACUCCUAG